RNAcentral lists this long non-coding RNA (1042 nucleotides) under Capsicum annuum. Its description in RNAcentral is "long non-coding RNA (CANN_LNC009318)". Lineage: Eukaryota; Viridiplantae; Streptophyta; Magnoliopsida; Solanales; Solanaceae. The record is from RNAcentral.
CUGAGUCAACAAGCAGAGAUAAAACUAGAGUCUCCUUAUUUUGAAUCCAAUAUAUCGGGUUCUGAAGAAGCACAUGUAAGGGACCAUGAAUUUGAUCUGAAUAAUGAAGGGAGUCUCAGUUUUAUCGACUUGCAAAGUGGCUCUUCACCUUCAGGAGCUCAGUGUUCUUCCUCCAAAAGUGAGGAAGAUCCUAUUCAUAGAGCUGUGGAAUGUUUUCACCAGGAAAAGCUAUCCCCAAACUCAGGUAAUUUUGUAUUGAAAAGUGCGUAAAAGCUUUCUUGAAAUGAGUUCUAUGGCUAGUAUGUCUUUGAAGAUGCCGUUAUAGUUGUCCUUUCUUCACCUCUUGGUUGAUUAUCAUCAUCCCUUAACUCCCACCUUUUCAAAAAAAGUGACAAAUUGAUCUGAAUAAUGAAGGGAGUCCCAAUUUUAUCGACCUGCAAAGUGCCACUUCACCUUCAGGAGCUCAGUGUUCUUCCUCCACAAGUGAGGAAGAUCCUAUUCGUAGAGCUUUGGAAUGUUUUCACCAAGAAAGGCUAUCCCUAAUCUCAGGUAAUUAUGUAUUUUAUCUGAGAAGUGCAUUCAGAUUUUCUUGAAUAGACUUCUAUGGUUAGUAUGUCUUAAAGAUGUGAUUAUAGUUGGUCUUUCUUGUCCUCUUGAUUGAUUAUCAUCAUCCCUAACCCCACCCAAACCCCAACCCUUUCAAAAAAGUAACAAAUUGAUUGUCGUUUCCUUUUCAAGGAGUGCAGAGGAAGUUUGCUGCCCGUUUCCUUGGUUUUAUUGUAGUCCUAUGUUGCUGGUUCAGUUGUGUGUUUCUUGAACACAAUUUACAUUGAGGGGGUUGUCUCUAUUCAGAAAAAGCAGUAUGACCAUAUUGCAAAGUCGGGUUAUGGACAUGUUAUCCCAUGGUCUAUUCUAAGUGGUUAUGAAUUGCUUCUAUAUUGCUAUCUGAAUGUAUAAUGUUUUCGUCAGUGUGCUUUUUUCUCUUGGAUUUGUUAUUAUUUUGCUGUAACUUCACAUUUAACAUGCUGUUAUUGAUACAGGG